RNAcentral lists this ribosomal RNA (468 nucleotides) under uncultured bacterium. Its description in RNAcentral is "partial 16S ribosomal RNA". It matches the Rfam family "Bacterial small subunit ribosomal RNA", at positions 28 to 507 of the family's 1533-position model. The record is from RNAcentral.
GACGAACGCUGGCGGCGUGCUUAACACAUGCAAGUCGAACGGAAAGGCCCUGCUUUUGUUGGGUGCUCGAGUGGCGAACGGGUGAGUAACACGUGUGUAACCUGCCCUUGACUUUGGGAUAACUUCAGGAAACUGGGGCUAAUACCGCAUAGCAGCUCCUGCUGCAUGGUGGGGGUUGGAAAGUUUCGGCGGUUGGGGAUGGACUAGCGGCUUAUCAGCUUGUUGGUGGGGUAGUGGCUUACCAAGGCUUUGACGGGUAGCCGGCCUGAGAGGGUGACCGGCCACAUUGGGACGGAGAUACGGCCCAGACUCCUACGGGAGGCAGCAGUGGGGAAUAUUACACAAUGGGCGGAAGCCUGAUGCAGCAACGCCGCGUGCGGGAUGACGGCCUUCGGGUUGUAAACCGCUUUCGCCUGUGACGAAGCGGGAGUGACGGUAAUGGGUAAAGAAGCACCGGCUAACUACGUG